UUUAACAGAACAUUCAUGCGAACUGGAUCUAGUUGGGUGGAGUUUACUAUCGUGACAGAUCUCAGAACGGAAAUGUCGUCGACGAGGAUCUCCACAGUCACAUCUGUGAAGAACAUCCGGCUCCAACGAUGUUAAAAGAAAGAAAAAAAAAAAGAAAAAAGAGAAAAAAAAAAGAAAAAGGACUUAGUUUACGUCAAACGGCAAUACGAUUGGACAGAGUGAAGUAAACGCAAAUCGAUGUCGUCGCGAUUGGUUCUAUUCGCGCGGUAAACGUCGCGGUUUCUUUUGAUCCGUUCUUCGAUAUAUCGCUGUUAGGCGUAUACACACGCGUAUAAGAGGAGAGAUCGAGAGCGAUCUCGACGCUGUCGCUUGGCUCGUCGAAUCUUGAGUGUUCUCCUCGAGAGAACGUCCUUUGAGAUCCUCUCGAUCAUCUUUUUUCCUUCUUUUCCUUGUUUUUUCUUUUUUUUUUUCUUUCCUUUUGUAUCAAUACGCACGCACGUAACGUAUUAAUUUCAAUUUGUACUUGUAAUAUUUUAAAACGUAAUUCUUCGAUAAUCUUUCGCAAAUUUUUUUCUUUGAGCUCAUAAAAUUGAUAAUUAAAAUCAUAUAAAAAAUGCUGAUUUUCAUUUUUUUGUUUUAUUUUAUUUUGUUUUCGACGUCUAUUUCUUACGCAAACAUUUAUAAAUACUUCUAUAUAAUACCAUACUUAUAAAAAUGAUAAAUAGAGAAUCUUUCUUCUAAAUAAUAUUAAAAUUUUCCCAGAAUUUAUUUGAAAUUGACAAACGUGCUAUAAUAUUCAAUAAGGUUUAAAGGUAGAAUAAAAUUCGUUAUAAUAAUUCGAUAUAAAAUAUAAUUUUAAUGUAUAAAAAUGAUUAUAAUAUAAAUACGUAAAUAAUUAUUCCCAUCGAGAUCGAGAGAUUUCUUCUUCUUCAAGAAUUAAUUCCGCGUUUCUUUCUCGUCUAUCGAGUAUAAAACAUGCGUUCGUCGUGAACAUACACAAAUAAGCAAGGAUCAGAAGUUAGCAAGACGAAGAUCGAGGAUCGAUGAAGGGAUCGAAGAGAUCGAUAUUGUGCCUUCUUGCUUGCUUGGUUACUUGCUCACUUGUUCGCCGUGUUCGGGCGAGGCUCUAAACUCUACGACGAGGAGACUUAAAUCAAUCACGAUAAUCAUGGUUUCGUUAGUUCGACGACGAUUUUCACCAAGGAUUACAACUUCCAACGAUUCCUAUAGAGUUGUUUUUCCGCGAAAGUUAUCAAUGGCCGCACGAACGCGAGAAAAGAUGUGUGUAUUCAAGCACGUAAGUGACUACGUGUACGUAUGUAUGUGUACGUCGUAAGGAUCUUUAAACGGCACCGGUACUCCCCAGAAAACAAGUGGUCUAGCCAGUUGAACAAAUUACCUACACUUAUUCCAGUGAUUUCGCGAAGUUAACAUAUGUAAUCUGAACUCGAAUGAAACUUCAAUCUCCGAGCAAAUGGAAAAGCACGUGUCCCGUAAUAACAUAAAGGUCACUAACCGGAAUGGGAAAUACGAGGAGAGUAGAGAUAGUUCAGAAUCUCAAGUUGUUCUUUAUUUUCAUCGUUUUUAAACUAUCUUAUUCCUUUUUUUUUCAGGAAGGAGGGAUGGGUAUAUAAGUAUUAUUUGAUGGUUCAUACUAUACGGUAUGGUUUGUCGUUGUUCGAACGCAGAACUCAGCUCGAAGAUAUCGACGUCUCUCUGGCAUGCCACUUACCUUGGAGACUGUAUUCUCGUUCUACCCACGUAAAGAAACAAGACGGUCGAUGUUAGAUGUCUUCUUCGAGCAUAAAUUUCGAGUAUAUAUUGAAAGAAUAUAAUUGUUCUGUUGAAUUUUCAAUGAGCAUCAUAUAAAAAAUUGAUCCUACGUUAUUAAACGAGCUAUCCUUCUGUAUUCGUCAAUAUUAUCUUGAAAAUAAGUUUAAGAAUUUUAACAUAUUUGAAUGAACCUAUCGUUUUUGGAUAGGAAAAAGCGAUUUAACUAAGUCUCUUAACUUUGAAAGAACUUGUUUAGGGCGAUUAAAUAAUCAGAUAAAGUUUAAAUGAUUUUAUCAUUACAAACUGUAGUCGCCACGAUGCGCUAUGAUAUUUGUCGAAUUUCAUAUGACUGUCUUAGUUAUAAAAAAAAAAAGUUAUCAAUAUAAAGAUAUGGAAAUAAUUUUUUCAUUAGAAAACGCGCUACGCGGAUAAUUAACGUAACUUCAUACGGCUUGCUUAGCUAGAUAUAGAUGUACGAUUUUUAUUGAAAUUUAUUCAACUAUAAGAAAUAUGUCUACGUAGACGCACUAUGAGACGUCGAGAUUUCAAUUUUAUUAAGAAGAACAUGGCGCCGUUCGAAGAAGAGCAAGUAUGGAAUGCUGUGCAUUGCCUUUUUCCGAGUCAAGAGGUGAAGCAAUUUGAAAGUCCUGCUACCAUCAGAGAAUCCACGUCACUCCUGUAAUGUUCUAUGGAAGUGUUGGAACAUCAUGGAAGUAAAUCCGAAUGUAACUAUAUGAAACUCGACUGGCAAUUACCCCGACAGCAUAGAGGACUUCAACAUCUUAGUCGAAUAACUGUAGGACAAAUUUUUCAAUUUUUUUAUUAUCCUCCUUUACCAAGCAAAUGAUGCUCGGUCUUUGAAAUAUUUAAUUUUAAAUAAAAAUCAGGUAGAAAAAAAGUAAGUUAAUGUCUGAUA
Vespa mandarinia (Asian giant hornet) is the source of this 2689-nucleotide long non-coding RNA. RefSeq lists it as uncharacterized. The record is from RefSeq and is a predicted model, not a curated record. Lineage: Eukaryota; Metazoa; Arthropoda; Insecta; Hymenoptera; Vespidae.